Long non-coding RNA from Equus caballus (horse), 992 nucleotides. The record is from Ensembl. NCBI's taxonomy places the organism in Eukaryota, Metazoa, Chordata, Mammalia, Perissodactyla, Equidae.
CUGCAGAUGUGGAACUCGUGGAUACAUAGGGCCGACUGUAUAUGAAAAGUAUGAUGUGAGUUAUCAGUUGAAGAAGAUUUAAGGGAAAUUUUUUUUUCUCUUAAGCUACCUAUGACUUAGAGCAAUUUGGUAAAGAAUGCUUUUGUGAACAAAGAUAAAACAAUUACUUUUUGUCCCUGCCUGAUUCCUCCAGAAUUCAGAAACUCUCAAAACGCCUUUUAUCAAAUACCUGAUUGCUUGUGCAAUGUAGUCCUAACUUUGGGAGCCCAUCUGCAUCAUUGCCUCCUAAAAUGAGUUCAACCCAGCUGACCUAUUCUCAGGACUAAGAAACUGGUUCGAUGAAAUAGUGGAGCAAUCUACCACCUCAAUUUCAACAUGUGAAACUUCCAAGGAAGUUCCAGAGGAGAGAACUAAUAGAGUUCAUGGUAGGCCAUCCCAAAAUAUGACACUUUGGCAUAUUGGUUAUUUUGAAUUAAAGUUACUUGAGAAACAGCCAGUGCAAGAAGAACACUCUGACCCUCCUUUGUUCCCCUGAAACCAGGAAACAAACACCCAUGGGAAAGUAUUCUCCCUAUAUCAGGAGGAUGGAGGGCAUCCUUAUCACCCGAGAUAGGGAACUCGGAGCAGAGGAAGCUAUAUAAGUAAAUUUUGUUACCUCCUCAUUAAUUUGCUACUCCAAGCCCAAACUCCCUUAUUUUGUCAAAUAUUCACCAAUAAUUGUUUCUUUGUCUAAAUGGUAUAUAAACAGCCUGCUUUGGUCAUUUCCUUGAGCACUCUAUUGUUAUGAUCUCCCAUAUGUAUGUAUUAAAUUGGUUUUCUUCUCAUUAUUCUACCUUGUAUUAAUUUUAUUAUUAGUCCAACCAUAAGAACUCUAGGGGUAAGGGGAAUACUUCCUCCCUACCCCCCGCUAUCAGGAGUUGAGCUGCUUGGACUGGACGUUCCUAUCAUCCUCAUGAUGCUGAUAUGCAAGUGAUGAUGUUUUGCAUUUUCAG